This 816-nucleotide long non-coding RNA is filed under the name Carassius auratus (goldfish). Its description in RNAcentral is "lncRNA (ENSCARG00000026257.1)". Lineage: Eukaryota; Metazoa; Chordata; Actinopteri; Cypriniformes; Cyprinidae. The record is from RNAcentral.
UACUGUGGGUGCUGGUGGGGUGGAUUAGUGGUGCCACUGGACUGUUCUGGGAUGGAGCAUCAGUGAUGAUCUUUAUUUUUCUUAGUGCUGCCUUUGCAUUGUUUGAUUUUUUUUUUUUUUCUUGUCUCUUUAAUUUUUUUUAAUAGACCCAGGUCUAGGGGUGCAUCGUGGAGCAGGGCCCUCCUCUUUUUGACCACAGGACGAUGUACAAAGAUUGUGGGAAUAGCAUCUGGUCUCAGCCUACUCUUGAAUUUUUUGGUCAUGACAAAUUGCUUUGCCUCAAUUUGCCUGCAGAGUGACUCCAGUUUAGUUUCCACAGACAACUUUUUUUUUGUCUACCCACAUACAGUACAUACACAUGGUGGUUAAAUGCACAGUUAUAGGUAACACUGAUGACUCCCUGCAUUGUCUCACCCUGAGUCUCAGCUCCCUGGGUUUUGCAAGGCUUUGUGUGUUCCUUAUUUCUAGUAAAUCAUUUUCAAUGUAAGAAAGUGCAAAUAAAUUUAAGUAUAAUUACCUAACAAUUUUUUGUUGUUGUAAUUUUUAUUUAUAUUUAGAUUGCUCCUGCUGACUUGAGCCAACCAUUAUUUUCUCCUCUCCAUGUCAGCGGGGAAGCCAUACAUUCGCACACCUUCCUCUGACCGAGUGGAGCAUCCCCAUGCAGCACAGUAAACCACGGUGGAGACUAUGCAAGGACAACAUGAAAGAAAGGACACAUACAAAAUGCUUGGCAUGCUAUUAAAUUUAUUAGAAAUGUAUUCAUGAAUUGCUGUAAAUAGUUAAUUGUAUUUAUUUGAAUAAAAAUACAAAGUGAUC